UUAGACUUAAGGGUUUCCAGGUGAAAAUACCUGGGACAAGAAGGUCACAAGAACAAACUGUACUGCAAAGACAGAUGCUCUUCAGUCUCAGGGGCAGACCUGGUAGACACUAUGGAAAAAAGAAGACACCACACCAGGGAGUGAAGAAUCUAAAAUUUCCAAUCUUUCUUAGUCUUUGCAAGGGAGAUAUUCUAAAAUUUUCCAGAAGAAAUUUCUUUAACUCAUUUGCCACAAAGUUCCAGACCUGGGACAAUUACCUGGCAUAUGUUGUCUCGUAAGAAAGAAAUCAAAGUAAGACAGAAGCUUUUUUUCACGUGCUUUGUAUAACCUGGGAAAAAAAUGCUGUAGAAACACUAGCUAGAAGCAAAUUGUCUCAGUGUCAAUUUGAGAUCAUACAGAACUGUUAGAAUCUAUCACUGGAACACAAACCUGUGCACCACCUGUUUUUGCCAAAUAGAUGUUAUCAAGCAUUAAAAGAUAAGCAGUUUUCUUUUUAUUAAUCAGUCAAAGCAACCUUUCUUCACAUUUGGUAAGACACUUGUCUUUUAUUUGAAUGUACCAAUUAAGUAACAUCAGGAAACAUUCAAUUUCCUUCUUAAAAAUAAGUAAAAGGAGUUUGCAGUUUUGAUUUACAGUCUUUUGGAACUGGCAUUAAAAGUAAUAUAUUACCACUCAGUUCAGGAGUAAAACAACUUUGAAUCCUACUAUUCUAGUCACUUAACACAAAUGUCGUAGGACACAAUGGGAAAUGAGUCAGCAUCAGAGUUACUGUUUUUAACAGUUCUAUGGAUAUGACUAGGAAAAUGCAGUUAAGGAAAUCACAGCUGUUCAAUUUCUGCAGAAGGACAUUUAGGAAUAGUGGAAGUUAUUAAGCACUUUUAAAAUAUAAAACAAAUGCAGACAACUCCGAGUUAACAAUUACCCACAGCAUUUUGUUAUUGUGUGAUUGUGUGAUGAUUUGGAGGUCCAUGGCAAGAAAGGCAAAGAGAGAUAUUAAAUUCAGCUGUCAGGCUAGUUAAAAAGAAAUAAUGGAACAUAAAGCAAGACUAAUGACAUGAAGUUAAAUAAAAAGAGGGUAAACUUCCUUUUUGGUGUACA
Molecule: long non-coding RNA, 1098 nt
Filed under: Numida meleagris (helmeted guineafowl)
Lineage: Eukaryota; Metazoa; Chordata; Aves; Galliformes; Numididae
Description: lncRNA (ENSNMEG00000015042.1)
Source: RNAcentral